This 452-nucleotide ribosomal RNA is filed under the name uncultured soil bacterium. Its description in RNAcentral is "bacterial SSU rRNA". It matches the Rfam family "Bacterial small subunit ribosomal RNA", at positions 26 to 470 of the family's 1533-position model. The record is from RNAcentral.
AGAUUGAACGCUGGCGGCAUGCUUUACACAUGCAAGUCGAGCGGCAGCGCGGGGGCAACCCUGGCGGCGAGCGGCGAACGGGUGAGUAAUGCAUCGGAACGUGUCCCGUAGUGGGGGAUAACCCGGCGAAAGCCGGACUAAUACCGCAUAUGCUCUACGGAGGAAAGGGGGGGACCCGCAAGGGCCUCCCGCUAUGGGAGCGGCCGAUGUCCGAUUAGCUUGUUGGUGGGUAAUGGCUUACCAAGGCGACGAUCGGUAGCUGGUCUGAGAGGAUGAUCAGCCACACUGGGACUGAGACACGGCCCAGACUCCUACGGGAGGCAGCAGUGGGAAUUUGGACAAUGGGGGCAACCCUGAUCCAGCCAUGCCGCGUGCGGGAAGAAGGGCCUUCGGGUUACGUAAACCGGUACUUUUGUACCGGUAAAGAAACGGACAACCUCCUAAGUACGGGU